ACAGGGAGACAGGUGGUGCAUGGUUGUCGUCAGCUCGUGUCGUGAGAUGUUGGGUUAAGUCCCGCAACGAGCGCAACCCCUACGUUUAGUUGCUAACGCGUGAAGGCGAGCACUCUAGACGAACUGCCGUUGACAAAACGGAGGAAGGUGGGAUGACGUCAAAUCAUCAUGCCCCUUAUGACCUGGGCUACACACGUGCUACAAUGGUUGGUACAACGAGUUGCGAGUCGGUGACGGCGAGCUAAUCUCUUAAAAGCCAAUCUCAGUUCGGAUUGUAGGCUGCAACUCGCCUACAUGAAGUCGGAAUCGCUAGUAAUCGCGGAUCAGCACGCCGCGGUGAAUACGUUCCCGGGCCUU
RNAcentral lists this ribosomal RNA (357 nucleotides) under uncultured Streptococcus sp. Its description in RNAcentral is "bacterial SSU rRNA". It matches the Rfam family "Bacterial small subunit ribosomal RNA", at positions 1026 to 1382 of the family's 1533-position model. The record is from RNAcentral. Lineage: Bacteria; Bacillati; Bacillota; Bacilli; Lactobacillales; Streptococcaceae.